AACGAACGCUGGCGGCGUGCCUAACACAUGCAAGUCGAACGAAAAGUCCGGGUUUUUUUGCGCACGUCGACGGGAGGCGUGGGAAGUUGCCCUUGAGUACCGUAUAACUCCCCGAGAGGGAUCUUAAUGACAGAUAGUGUCUUAGCACCUAAGAUCUAUUGCCUCUGGAUGGGCGCGGGUUAGAUUCGCUAGUUGGUAGGGUAAUAGCCUAUCAUGGGCUUGAUCCCUAGCUGGUCUGAGAGGAGGACUAGCAACGCUGGGACUCAGACACGGCCCAGACUCGUACGGAAGGGAGGAGAGGGGAAUAUUGUACAAUGGGGGAAGGCCUGAUACAGCAGUGCGGCGUAAGUGGUGAAUGCCGUAGGGUUGUAAUGCUCUUUUAGCCGAGAUGAUAGUGACGGUACCGGGAGAAUAAGCUCCGGCUAACUACGUG
This 433-nucleotide ribosomal RNA is filed under the name uncultured bacterium. RNAcentral describes it as "partial 16S ribosomal RNA". It matches the Rfam family "Bacterial small subunit ribosomal RNA", at positions 29 to 507 of the family's 1533-position model. The record is from RNAcentral.